Molecule: long non-coding RNA, 490 nt
Filed under: Aquila chrysaetos chrysaetos
Lineage: Eukaryota; Metazoa; Chordata; Aves; Accipitriformes; Accipitridae
Description: lncRNA (ENSACCG00020011385.1)
Source: RNAcentral
CCGGCGGCUGCGCCGGGCAGGCCGCGGGCGGGGGCUCGCCCCGGCGAGGAAAGCCUGCGCGGCGGGAAGGCGGUCGUUGGUUUGGGGAGCUGAACCGGGGGGUGUCUCCGGAGGCAGGCAGGCGGCAGGGCUCGGGGCGAGCCGUCGCCGGCCGCCAAGCUCACGGGGGUGUCCUUCCCUGCUGCCGACAGGCUUCGUCAGGCUGCGCUCUCGGGGAGCAACUGGGUCUGGCGGGGCCGGCAGCCUUCGUGCGAGGAAGCGCAGAACGUGGGCAAGGCCUCCUCGCGGUGACGGGCAGCUGCCAGGCCUUGCUCUGUAAGCCCCGGACCGCAGAAGUCACGUCUCGCGCCCUUCGCCCCUGCCUAGAAACAGGGAAUGGCUCUGCCCCGAUAUUCAUUCAUACAGAAGAAGCAGAUGUGACCUUCCCUUAUUAACUCUCGCGAUGAGUCAUGCUCAUCUCUGUGACUGAGCACUCAGACAUGAUCUCAAG